GACGAACGCUGGCGGCGUGCUUAACACAUGCAAGUCGAACGGAAAGGCCCUGCUUUUGUGGGGUGCUCGAGUGGCGAACGGGUGAGUAACACGUGAGUAACCUGCCCUUGACUUUGGGAUAACUUCAGGAAACUGGGGCUAAUACCGGAUAGGAGCUCCUGCUGCAUGGUGGGGGUUGGAAAGUUUCGGCGGUUGGGGAUGGACUCGCGGCUUAUCAGCUUGUUGGUGGGGGAGUGGCUUACCAAGGCUGUGACGGGUAGCCGGCCUGAGAGGGUGACCGGCGACAUUGGGACUGAGAGAGGGCCCAGAGUGCAACGGGAGGCAGCAGUGGGGAAUAUUGCACAAUGGGCGGAAGCGUGAUGCAGAAACGCCGGGUGCGGGAUGACGGCCUUCGGGUUGUAAACCGCUUUCGCCUGUGACGAAGCGGGAGUGACGGUAAUGGGUAAAGAAGCACCGGCUAACUACGUG
This 468-nucleotide ribosomal RNA is filed under the name uncultured bacterium. RNAcentral's name for it is "partial 16S ribosomal RNA". It matches the Rfam family "Bacterial small subunit ribosomal RNA", at positions 28 to 507 of the family's 1533-position model. The record is from RNAcentral.